Molecule: long non-coding RNA, 1161 nt
Organism: Patella vulgata (common limpet)
Lineage: Eukaryota; Metazoa; Mollusca; Gastropoda; Patellidae
Exons: 6
Source: RefSeq, a predicted model, not a curated record
UCAACCGACACCACAAUAUAGUUGACGAACAAAUUUAACUAUUGAUACACCUAUAUUAAUUAAACAGUGGAAUAAGUCGGCUGGUUUUAAAAGAGUCUGUCGUUAGGUAGUUUUACUCGACUAUAUAUAACGUACUGCUGGUGCAAUUCCUAAAAAUACGUGGCACUCAAAUUGUCUAUAAGGGUGGAUUUAUGGGUUAAAGUGCGUGGAAUAACGACAGAACUUAACUUCCAAACAUAUUUGUGUUAAUAUUGUGUACUUCGUCACUUAUCUUGUGUGUUAUUUAUUUGUGGGAUACGUCAGCAUAAUUGAUGAUUACGUCAAAGGAUAUCUUAGUAUGUUGAAUGAAGAAACGAUGGAAGUGUUUUAAUUUAAAUGGGUGGCCUCAGGAGUACAAUUAUGUGUCAUUUGGAUUAUUAUUAUCGGUACCAAUAACAGUAUGGCUAUACCUAACUUAGUUUAUAGAACAUGUGUUACUAUAUUAACAUUACUUAGUGUUUGGAUUAUAAACGCCCGACCUGUUUCAGGAACCAGUACUGGUCAUCCUCUACCAUCAUUCCUCGACACACCCACUAAUACAACAUUUGGUGUAGGCGAAGAAGCUAUAUUACAAUGUGCUAUACAGAAUCUAGGAACAAGAACGGUGGUUUGGCGACGUGCAUCGGAUCCCAAUCCUUUAACAAUAGGUGAUAAUACCUACGUAUCAGACGACAGAAUCCGGGUUCUUCACGAAAAAUACUCAAUGGAAUGGAGUUUACAUAUAAGGGAUGUGACGUUUGAGGACGAGGGUGUUUACGAAUGUCAGAUUAGUUCUAAAUCUCGGAGCGUCAGAAGAUUAAUCAUGUUACGAGUUAAUGAAAAACCAUCCAAAAAUUCUAAAGGACCAGAAAUCGAAAUCUCAGGACUGACGUUUGUGGAGAAGGGAAAUCCCCUAAAAGUGACGUGUAACGCCACCGGAAAUGAUUAUCCGCCUGAAGGUUUGGAUUGGUUCAAAGAUGGACUUAAAAUAACGCCGAACGAUCGAACGUCGAUCAACAUGGACGUAUCGAUAUCCGAUCGAACUAUAAUCAGUACCCUAGUUAUUCUAAGGGCUGAUAUGUACGAUGCCGGAACUUACGUAUGUCGUACGUCAGAUCUACAAAUCACCAGUGCUAAAGUUAA